Molecule: ribosomal RNA, 817 nt
Filed under: uncultured bacterium
Lineage: Bacteria
Description: bacterial SSU rRNA
Rfam family: Bacterial small subunit ribosomal RNA
Source: RNAcentral
GAGAGUUUGAUCCUGGCUCAGGAUGAACGCUGGCGGUCUGCUUAACACAUGCAAGUCGAACGCAACCUUCGGGUUGAGUGGCGGACGGGUGAGUAACGCGUGAGAAUCUGCCUUGGGGUCGGGGACAACCACUGGAAACGGUGGCUAAUACCGGAUACGCCUUCGGGUAAAAGAUUUAUUGCCCUAAGAGGAGCUCGCGUCUGAUUAGCUAGUUGGUGAGGUAAGAGCUCACCAAGGCAGCGAUCAGUAGCUGGUCUGAGAGGACGAUCAGCCACACUGGGACUGAGACACGGCCCAGACUCCUACGGGAGGCAGCAGUGGGGAAUUUUCCGCAAUGGGCGAAAGCCUGACGGAGCAAGACCGCGUGAGGGAGGAAGGCUCUUGGGUUGUAAACCUCUUUUCUCAGGGAAGAAGCUCUGACGGUACCUGAGGAAUCAGCCUCGGCUAACUCCGUGCCAGCAGCCGCGGUAAUACGGAGGAGGCAAGCGUUAUCCGGAAUUAUUGGGCGUAAAGCGUCCGCAGGUGGCGAUUCAAGUCUGCUGUCAAAGCACGGGGCUUAACUCCGUAAAGGCAGUGGAAACUGAAUAGCUAGAGUGCCGUAGGGGUAGAGGGAAUUCCCGGUGUAGCGGUGAAAUGCGUAGAGAUCGGGAAGAACAUCGGUGGCAAAAGCGCUCUACUGGACGGCAACUGACACUCAGGGACGAAAGCUAGGGGAGCGAAUGGGAUUAGAUACCCCAGUAGUCCUAGCUGUAAACGAUGGAUACUAGGUGUAGCUUGUAUCGACCCGAGCUGUGCCGAAGCUAACGCGUUAAGUAUC